GAUGAACGCUAGCGGCAGGCCUAAUACAUGCAAGCUGAACGGUAAAUAUUGUAGCAAUACGAUAUGAGAGUAGCGUAAGGGUGCGUAACACGUAUGCAAUCUGCCCUGUACAGGGGGAUA
RNAcentral lists this ribosomal RNA (120 nucleotides) under uncultured bacterium. RNAcentral's name for it is "partial 16S ribosomal RNA". It matches the Rfam family "Bacterial small subunit ribosomal RNA", at positions 28 to 145 of the family's 1533-position model. The record is from RNAcentral.